CCUGGAUUCGCCUCCCAGCUUUGGGUGACGCGUUUCCUGCUCAGAUUUCCCCAACCACAGUCUUCCUGUUCGCCUUUUUUUUUUUAAUCUAAGUGCACAAGUCCAUCACCCUGCGUGCUGACGAGUCUCGUGCGUGUCCUGCGCGGCACCCUUCCCCAGUGUCCUGCGUGGCACUCUACCGUUCCUGGUUCUGAGUGACCCUUUAGGGCGACCUAUUACAGCCAUUCUCCUUCA
Molecule: long non-coding RNA, 234 nt
Organism: Drosophila miranda
Lineage: Eukaryota; Metazoa; Arthropoda; Insecta; Diptera; Drosophilidae
Exons: 2
Source: RefSeq, a predicted model, not a curated record